UAGGGAAUCUUCGGCAAUGGACGAAAGUCUGCCCGAGCAACGCCGCGUGAGUGAAGAAGGUUUUCGGAUCGUAAAACUCUGUUGUUAGAGAAGAACAAGGACGUUAGUAACUGAACGUCCCCUGACGGUAUCUAACCAGAAAGCCACGGCUAACUACGUGCCAGCAGCCGCGGUAAUACGUAGGUGGCAAGCGUUGUCCGGAUUUAUUGGGCGUAAAGCGAGCGCAGGCGGUUUCUUAAGUCUGAUGUGAAAGCCCCCGGCUCAACCGGGGAGGGUCAUUGGAAACUGGGAGACUUGAGUGCAGAAAAGGAGAGUGGAAUUCCAUGUGUAGCGGUGAAAUGCGUAGAUAUAUGGAGGAACACCAGUGGCGAAGGCGGCUCUCUGGUCUGUAACUGACGCUGAGGCUCGAAAGCGUGGGGAGCAAACAGG
RNAcentral lists this ribosomal RNA (429 nucleotides) under Gemmatimonadota bacterium. Its description in RNAcentral is "Gemmatimonadetes bacterium partial 16S ribosomal RNA". It matches the Rfam family "Bacterial small subunit ribosomal RNA", at positions 355 to 776 of the family's 1533-position model. Lineage: Bacteria; Pseudomonadati; Gemmatimonadota. The record is from RNAcentral.